This 468-nucleotide ribosomal RNA is filed under the name uncultured bacterium. RNAcentral describes it as "partial 16S ribosomal RNA". It matches the Rfam family "Bacterial small subunit ribosomal RNA", at positions 28 to 507 of the family's 1533-position model. The record is from RNAcentral.
GACGAACGCUGGCGGCGUGCUUAACACAUGCAAGUCGAACGGAAAGGCCCUGCUUUUGUGGGGUGCUCGAGAGGCGAACGGGUGAGUAACACGUGAGUAACCUGCCCUUGACUUUGGGAUAACUUCAGGAAACUGGGGCUAAUACCGGAUAGGAGCUCCUGCUGCAUGGUGGGGGUUGGAAAGUUUCGGCGGUUGGGGAUGGACUCGCGGCUUAUCAGCUUGUUGGUGGGGUAGUGGCUUACCAAGGCUUUGACGGGUAGCCGGCCUGAGAGGGUGACCGGCCACAUUGGGACUGAGAUACGGCCCAGACUCCUACGGGAGGCGGCAGUGGGGAAUAUUGCACAAUGGGCGGAAGCCUGAUGCAGCAACGCCGCGUGCGGGAUGACGGCCUUCGGGUUGUAAACCGCUUUCGCCUGUGACGAAGCGUGAGUGACGGUAAUGGGUAAAGAAGCACCGGCUAACUACGUG